UCGGUCCGAGUGCCAACCAGUCGGGCCCAGUACUCAGGCUGGGAACCUUGACGAGCCUGAAUUACUACGAGUUGGGUGUCCUACUUGGGCAUAAAAAAUUCUAAAAAAAUAAUGAAUUUGUUUGUGAUUGUUUUCUUAUAUUUCCUAUAUUUUGGCCGUAAAUAUCUAUUUUCACAUUUUCUCAUCUUUUUUGGGUUAUUUGAAAAUACACCCAAUAACAAGUUGAUUUCUUAAAAUUUAUUUUUCGGUGUGGAUUGUAUAGAGCCUAGGCUCUAAACAAUC
This 282-nucleotide long non-coding RNA is filed under the name Amborella trichopoda. Its description in RNAcentral is "long non-coding RNA (ATRI_LNC000224)". The record is from RNAcentral. Lineage: Eukaryota; Viridiplantae; Streptophyta; Magnoliopsida; Amborellales; Amborellaceae.